UACAUGGGGUGCAAACGUUGCUCGGAAUUAUUGGGCGUAAAGCGCACGUAGGCGGUUCGUUAAGUCAGGUGUGAAAGCCCUCGGCUCAACCGAGGAAGUGCACCUGAAACUGGCGAGCUAGAGUACUAAAGAGGGUCGCGGAAUUCCCGGUGUAGAGGUGAAAUUCGUAGAUAUCGGGAGGAACACCGGUGGCGAAGGCGGCGACCUGGGUAGAUACUGACGCUGAGGUGCGAAAGCGUGGGGAGCAAACAGG
This 253-nucleotide ribosomal RNA is filed under the name uncultured bacterium. RNAcentral describes it as "partial 16S ribosomal RNA". It matches the Rfam family "Bacterial small subunit ribosomal RNA", at positions 524 to 776 of the family's 1533-position model. The record is from RNAcentral.